RNAcentral lists this transfer RNA (75 nucleotides) under Pseudomonas putida. RNAcentral's name for it is "tRNA-Arg". It matches the Rfam family "tRNA". From Rfam's summary of the family: Transfer RNA (tRNA) molecules are approximately 80 nucleotides in length. Lineage: Bacteria; Pseudomonadati; Pseudomonadota; Gammaproteobacteria; Pseudomonadales; Pseudomonadaceae. The record is from RNAcentral.
GUCUUCUUAGUUCAAUGGAUAGAACGGGGCCCUCCUAAGGCUCAGAUACAGGUUCGACUCCUGUAGGAGACGCCA